Molecule: long non-coding RNA, 1936 nt
Organism: Selaginella moellendorffii
Lineage: Eukaryota; Viridiplantae; Streptophyta; Lycopodiopsida; Selaginellales; Selaginellaceae
Exons: 9
Source: RefSeq, a predicted model, not a curated record
UCAGGGUUUAGAUUUUGGAAGCUGGAUGCCGAUGCCGCGCGCGCCAGUGGCGGAUUCUUGCGCAAUCCUCUGGAUCGGCGGCGCUGCCGGGCGGCAUCCUUGCGAAUGAUCCAUCGCAUUGAGGUCUGGAUCGAUCUGAUCGUUGCGUUUCGUAGGGAGAAGGAUGUCACGUCCUUGUUGCGGACGAUGAUCCUCAUUUUCUGGCAGAGAUCAAGCUUAAGCUCGAGAUCUUUCACUACUGCGUGACAACGUUUGUGAAUGGAGACUCUGUUCGUGAAGCAUUACAAAUGGAGCCAUGCUCGUUUCAUAUAGCUUUGCUGGAGGCCAUGAGCAAGAACAUCAAAGGCCUUGAAAUCCUCUCUACACCACGAUGUGUACCUAUAAUUUUGGUUUCUAGCAUAGAGGAUAUUGCUGUAAGGUUUAAGUUUCUGAAAGUGGAUUUUCCUAUCGCAAAGUUUUUAAAACAGGCUGGUGCUGCUGGUUUUCUUCGAAAACGAACUAUUGACGACGAAACACUCAAAAAUCUUUGGCAGCAUGUAGCAAGAAAGGCUUUGAAGGAGCAGAGCCGAGUCCAUCUUCAUCCAAUCGGUGAAUCAACAAUCUCUAUAAAACAUACUUCUACAACUGAAGAUCAAUCCAAGACACGACUAGAACAAUCAUCUAACACAACAUCUGACAGCAUUCCCACUCUAGUUACAUCUCAAAGUAACAAUAUCUCAGAGAAGAAGUAAUGCGAAAUGAAAUCGUAUGCUGGCGAGAGCGUGAAUGGUCAGCUGACUUCUAGCAAUGACGAAGUGACGCUGGAUGACGAGCUGGAGUCCAUGCAAAGGUCAGCAUCUGACCAUACCGGAACCGUCGAUGCCGCUCAACAAGAACAACACAUGCAACGUGUAGAAAACUGUCACAAAAAAGAACGAAAUUUAACAACGAAAAAAACAAAGGUUGGAGCCCAGAUCUUCACCGGUUGUUUGUUCAGGCUGUAGAGGAACUUGGCUUGGAAAAAGCGAUUCCAUCUCGAAUUCUGGAAAUCAUGGGCGUUGAGUCCCUCACACGCCAUAAUGUUGCCAGUCGCUUACGGGUACAAGAACAUCAUUGUAUGCUUGUGUAAACACUAUUUUCAGAAGUACCGUGCUCAGAGGAAGCGCAAGCGCGCUGAAUCGAAACAGAAGUGCUCAAGCUAAGAGGCGCUGAAUAAACGCGAUUGUCUACACAUUCAACCUUCUCCAUCCAUUCCUUCUACGUACCAUUUUGUUCCGCCUGGCCAUGUAUGGGGACUCCCUGCUCAAGGUUGGCCACCUUCAAAGCCUUUGCACCAGAAUUCCAUUUCCGCAUGGCAGACAACGGGUCCACCUGCAAAGCAUAUCUGUGUUGUUUUUAAGCACCGACUUGUUUUCUCUGAAUUUGCAGUCAAGAAACGCAAACAAAGAUGAAUCGCGUGUAAGGUCUAAACUAUCUUUACCAAUGCGACUUAAGCCUCCGAUGAUCGCGGGGUGUAAUCGAAGAACUCAGGAAACUGGCUCAAAGAGCUAAGUGAAGAGUCAACGAGGGCAGGCUGUAUGGUGGGCUCUUCAGCGCAGUAGCUGAUGGAUCUUCCAAACAUCCGUAAGCCGAACUUGGAUUUUCAAUAUUGGAUAGCUGAACAAGUCAGAUUCUUGACUUCGAGAACAUACUGGGAAGACGCACUCUCUUCUGAGCUGCAACUACAGGUAGCUAAAACUAGUGCUUGAUCGUUGUUUUAAUCCUUUGGUGUUUGCAGGAGUCGAGUACCUGCGAGAAGAGUCCAGUUAAAUCAUAUGAAACUGAAACCGAGACAUUACAGCAGGAUACUCGGGCACUCUAUUUCCUCUCUCGUCAUACAGGAUGAGGCCAGAGAAAUCCGGAGGCUCGCACUUCUCGCCCAUGAGAAUCGUUCUCUGCCACACGGCUCCCGUGUUCU